Molecule: ribosomal RNA, 251 nt
Filed under: uncultured bacterium
Lineage: Bacteria
Description: partial 16S ribosomal RNA
Rfam family: Bacterial small subunit ribosomal RNA
Source: RNAcentral
UACAGAGGGUGCGAGCGUUAAUCGGAAUUACUGGGCGUAAAGCGUGCGUAGACGGUCAUGUAAGUCGGAUGUGAAAGCCCCGGGCUCAACCUGGGAAUUGCAUUCGAGACUGCAUGGCUUGGGUGCGGAAGAGGGAAGCGGAAUUUCCGGUGUAGCGGUGAAAUGCGUAGAUAUCGGAAGGAACACCAGUGGCGAAAGCGGCUUCCUGGUCCGACACCGACGUUCAGGCACGAAAGCGUGGGAGCAACAGG